RNAcentral lists this ribosomal RNA (253 nucleotides) under uncultured prokaryote. RNAcentral describes it as "partial 16S ribosomal RNA". It matches the Rfam family "Bacterial small subunit ribosomal RNA", at positions 525 to 777 of the family's 1533-position model. The record is from RNAcentral.
ACGUAGGGUGCAAGCGUUAAUCGGAAUUACUGGGCGUAAAGCGCGCGUAGGCGGCUUUGUAAGUUAGAGGUGAAAGCCCGGGGCUCAACCCCGGAACUGCCUUUAAGACUGCAUCGCUUGUAUCCGGGAGAGGUGAGUGGAAUUCCGAGUGUAGAGGUGAAAUUCGUAGAUAUUCGGAAGAACACCAGUGGCGAAGGCGGCUCACUGGACCGGUAUUGACGCUGAGGUGCGAAAGCGUGGGGAGCAAACAGGA